UCCCUGGUGGCUCAGAGGUUAAAGCGUCUGCCUGCAAUGCGGGAGACCCUGGUUCAAUCCCUGGGUCGGGAA
This 72-nucleotide transfer RNA is filed under the name Ovis aries (sheep). It matches the Rfam family "tRNA". Rfam says of the family: Transfer RNA (tRNA) molecules are approximately 80 nucleotides in length. The record is from Rfam by way of RNAcentral. Lineage: Eukaryota; Metazoa; Chordata; Mammalia; Artiodactyla; Bovidae.